GGCCCGGUCGCGGAUGGUCCGCAACUGCAACCUGUGGAGGCGUCGUAUAGGUUGAUUUCUGCCUGCAGGAGUCGCUCGUUCGAAUCGAGCCCGGGCCA
Mycena polygramma is the source of this 98-nucleotide non-coding RNA. The record is from the annotation of a GenBank genome assembly. NCBI's taxonomy places the organism in Eukaryota, Fungi, Basidiomycota, Agaricomycetes, Agaricales, Mycenaceae.